UACAUAAGGAGCAAGCGUUGUCCGGAAUCAUUGGGCGUAAAGAGCGUGUAGACAACCAGAAAAGUCCGCUGUGAAAACUCGAGGCUCAACUUCGAGCUGUCGGUGGAAACUUUCUAGCUAGAGUCCGGAAGAGGAGAAUGGAAUUCCUGAUGUAGCGGUGAAAUGCGCAGAUAUCAGGAAGAACACCCGUGGCGAAGGCGGCUCUCUGGGACGGUACUGACGCUGAGACGCGAAAGCGUGGGGAGCGAACAGG
Molecule: ribosomal RNA, 253 nt
Filed under: uncultured bacterium
Lineage: Bacteria
Description: partial 16S ribosomal RNA
Rfam family: Bacterial small subunit ribosomal RNA
Source: RNAcentral